CAGCUACACAUGCAGUCGAGCGGAUGAGGGGAGCUUGCUUCCUGAUUCAGCGGCGGACGGGUGAGUAAUGCCUAGGAAUCUGCCUGGUAGUGGGGGACAACGUCUCGAAAGGGACGCUAAUACCGCAUACGUCCUACGGGAGAAAGCAGGGGACCUUCGGGCCUUGCGCUAUCAGAUGAGCCUAGGUCGGAUUAGCUAGUUGGUGAGGUAAUGGCUCACCAAGGCUGCGAUCCGUAACUGGUCUGAGAGGAUGAUCAGUCACACUGGAACUGAGACACGGUCCAGACUCCUACGGGAGGCAGCAGUGGGGAAUAUUGGACAAUGGGCGAAAGCCUGAUCCAGCCAUGCCGCGUGUGUGAAGAAGGUCUUCGGAUUGUAAAGCACUUUAAGUUGGGAGGAAGGGCAGUAAGUUAAUACCUUGCUGUUUUGACGUUACCGACAGAAUAAGCACCGGCUAACUUCGUGCCAGCAGCCGCGGUAAUACGAAGGGUGCAAGCGUUAAUCGGAAUUACUGGGCGUAAAGCGCGCGUAGGUGGUUUGUUAAGUUGGAAGUGAAAGCCCCGGGCUCAACCUGGGAACUGCUUUCAAAACUGGCAAGCUAGAGUAUGGCAGAGGGUGGUGGAAUUUCCUGUGUAGCGGUGAAAUGCGUAGAUAUAGGAA
Molecule: ribosomal RNA, 660 nt
Filed under: Stutzerimonas nitrititolerans
Lineage: Bacteria; Pseudomonadati; Pseudomonadota; Gammaproteobacteria; Pseudomonadales; Pseudomonadaceae
Description: bacterial SSU rRNA
Rfam family: Bacterial small subunit ribosomal RNA
Source: RNAcentral